GCUGGGUGCGGUGGCUCACGCCUGUAAUCCCAGCACUUUGGGAGGCCAAGGCAGGAGUGGAUCAUCUGAGGUCAUGAGUUCAAGACCAGCCUGGUCAACAUGGUGAANUUCACCAUGUUGACCAGGCUGGUCUUGAACUCAUGACCUCAGAUGAUCCACUCCUGCCUU
This is a non-coding RNA of Chlorocebus sabaeus (green monkey), 168 nucleotides long. It matches the Rfam family "Metazoan signal recognition particle RNA". Rfam says of the family: The signal recognition particle (SRP) is a universally conserved ribonucleoprotein. NCBI's taxonomy places the organism in Eukaryota, Metazoa, Chordata, Mammalia, Primates, Cercopithecidae. The record is from Rfam.